RNAcentral lists this long non-coding RNA (1350 nucleotides) under Malus domestica (apple). Its description in RNAcentral is "long non-coding RNA (MDOM_LNC010378)". The record is from RNAcentral. Lineage: Eukaryota; Viridiplantae; Streptophyta; Magnoliopsida; Rosales; Rosaceae.
AAACAGUGUAUUUUUUACACCAACUAAGGAUUUCAUCUUAUCAGAACUCAUUCAUAAUGUCUUAUUAGCGUAUUAUAUGAGUUUAUUUGCUUAAGUUCCAAAAUGUAUCCAACGCACGAUCGUUUUAUCCCACAAAUGCUUAAAACAGUGCAAACACACUCCAAAUAAUGUACUUUAGACACCAAAUAAGCAUUUGACCUUUGGAGAUCUCAUUCUUAACGUCUUACUAAUGUAUUAUAUAUGCUUAUUUUCUUAAGUUCCAAAGCGUAUCCAAAACACGUUCGUUCUAUACCACGAAUGCUUAAAACAGUGCAAAUACGCUGCAAAUAGUGUACUUUUGAUACCAAAUAAGCAUUUGACCGUUUGAGAUCUCAUUCUUAACGUCUUAUUAACGUAUUACCAAAGUGUAUCCAACGCACGCUCGUUUUAUCCCACGAGUGUUUAAAAUAGUGCAAACACACUCAGAAUAGUUUACUUUUGACCCAAAAUAAGCAUUUGGCUUUUUGAGAGCUCAUUCUUAGCAUCUUAUUAGCGUCUUAUAUGUGUUUAUUUGCUUAAGUGCCAAAGCGUAUCCAACGCACGCUCGUUUUAUCCAAUGAAUGCUUAAAACAGUGCAAAUACACUCCAAACAGUGUAUUUUUGACACCAACUAAGGAUUUCAUCUUAUUAGAACUCAUUCAUGAUGUCUUAUUAGCGUAUUAUAUGAGUUUAUUUGCUUAAGUUCCAAACCGUUUCCAACGCACGCUUGUUUUAUCUAAUGAAUGCUUAAAACAGCGCAAAUACACCCCAAAUAGUGUACUUUUCACACCAACUAAGCAUUUCAUCUUAUGAGAACUUAUUCAUAACAUCUUAUAUGUGUUUAUUUGCUUAAGUUGCAAAGGUUGCCAAAUGCACGCUCUUUUAAUCUAGCGAAUGCUUAAAACAGCGCAAAUACACUCCAAAUAGUGUACUUUUGACACCAAAUAAGCAUUUGAUGAUUUGAGAACUCAUUCUUAACGUCUUAUGGGCAUAAUAUAUGUCUUUAGUUGCUUAAGUUCCAAAGCCUGUAAAAUGCACACUCGUUUUAUACAACGAAUGAUAAAAGCAGUGCAAAUGCACUCCAGGUAGUGUACUUUCAACACCGAAUAAGCAUUUGACCUUUUGAUAACUCAUUCUUAACGUCUUCUUAACGUAUUAUAUGCGUUUAUUUGCUUAAGUUUCAAAUCGUAUCCAACGCACGCUCAUUUUUCCCACGAAUGCUUAAAACAGUGCAAACACACUACAAAUAGUGUACUUUAGACACCAAAUAAGCAUUUGACCCCGUGAGAUCUCAUUCUUAACGUCUUAUUAACGUACUAUAUAUGCUUAUUU